RNAcentral lists this long non-coding RNA (6400 nucleotides) under Coffea arabica (coffee). RNAcentral's name for it is "long non-coding RNA (CARA_LNC004831)". Lineage: Eukaryota; Viridiplantae; Streptophyta; Magnoliopsida; Gentianales; Rubiaceae. The record is from RNAcentral.
UCCUCUUCACCACAUCUCAAGUUAUCCUUACGACAUUAACCAAUGUGAAAGUAGUCAAUUUCUGUAAUAAUCAACAACCAAAAUGUGAACCAACAUUUUUCAGUAAAUCCACUCCAACUCCUAAUCUGAGCAGGUGCAUGGCAUUUCUUAAAAUAUAAUUGGCUUCUUGAUUCAUCAUAUAUCAAGUCAACAAAAUCGAGGUAGCAUCUCUAACAUGUAUGAACAUUUGACGGUGUUGAGAAAACAAUGUAGAUGACCUAUUAGUCUAUUUAAAAACAGAAAAAGGAAACUAUAGAAGGAAAUAAAAAAAAAAUAGGGUGUAGUGUUUGUGUCUGAUAUAUAUAUAUAUAUAUAUAUAUAUAUAUAUAGAGAGAGAGAGAGAGAGAGAGAGGAAGAGAGAGCAUUUGCUAAAGAAACAAGGUGGAAUACAAUUUAGCUUCUCAGGUCGUAUUAGGAAAGUUUACUAUGAGCUCCAACGAUUCUGACCUCUUUUGGAGACAAUAAAGGCUUGGUAAAUGGGAUAAUUAUCUAGCACCAUGCAAGCAAGAGCGUCCUAAUAAAGCCAAUUCCUAGUUAAUUUCUCAAACUUUUUCCUUUCUUUCUAUUUUUGAAUAAACAUUUCCUUUUUGCUGUAACAGCAGGGUCGAAAGCCAUAACACUCCAGUGGAGGCAACAAAUUCAAAUCCCAGUAUAGCAGGGGAAGUGACAUAGCAAAACUACCCAAAUGACAUCAAAACCAAUAUAUGGUAGUUCAUCACUACCUAAAUUGACCCAAAUGACAUGUAUCCUGACAUAGGUUACAUAUCUCAACGUGGUGAUUAGAAUGAAACUCCAUAUUUUUAACAGGAUACAUCCAAUCAAAAUCCCGAAAGAUAAAAAUAUUGAUAUAAUAAAUACCGAAUGUUAGUAAUCCGUGACAAAAUCUUCAAACAUGCAACUACAACACUGGAAAAAAAAAACUAAAAACAAAUCUAAAAGGAAAAAAAGGUGCCAAGAAAACAGGAGCUCCAACAGCGAAAUGUCAUCUUUGUUAUUCUUGCAGAAGAAUAAAUAUUGGUUGAAAGGUAAAGGUAUUACCUUUUAAACUUGAAUUCCACCAUUGAUAUUUAAGAGUAGAGUAGACGUUCACGGAGCGAGAAGAAAUUAUCUGAAAAUUGUCAAUAAUGGUCUGAGAUGCUUCGUGCCAAGGAAAUAUUAGUUAAAAAGGACACAUGAAACAUAUUGCAAGAGAGCAAGUAAUUAAGGCAUAAUGGAAAGAAAAAACAAAUUUAGCGGAAGUUUUUAUUUCUUAUUUACUUGUCAAACAAUAAAAUUAUUUGUUCAUCUUGAAUUUUACCAUUGGAAAUUACAAGCAGUAAAAAAACUCUCGUGAGAAGAAACUUUCUAAUUUUUCCCUUCUUUCCUUUUAGACUUCCUAAAAUUUUUCAUUAAUGGUUUGAAAUGCUCUAAGCCAUGGAGAAAGCAGAAGAAAGAAAAAAUAUAUGCAAUAAAAUAAGAAAUGAGGGCAUACAAACCUUACCUUUUAAUAAAUUCUCUAACCUAAAUUGCAAACUUUAAAUAAACAAUAACUGGACACAUAUUUCUGAAAAAAGGUUCCAACAAAACCCGAAAAAAUGAUAUCUAUCAACGAAAUUGUUUAUGAAGGUAAAAAAUUCUAGAUAUGAUGGGUACCUAUAUCAGAUUAUUCCACAUCUUAGCAGAGGGACGAAGGUUCUUGCUCCUAUGUUUGGAGAGACUAAAUCAAAACAAAGUAGGAAAAUGUUACCAAAAAGAAAAAGAAAAAAGCACAUUAAACAUAGGCAAAAUGAGUGAAAGUUUACCAUGAUUACAUUUGAAAAAAAGUGAUUCAGAUGGCUGAGAAGAAUCAAACAUCUUCCCCCUUCAUCCUGUUUCCCAUUUCCUGUUAACUGAAGAGAGAGUUUGAGAGGAAUGGGACAUCAACAAAGAAAUGAGGAGGAAUGGGUGAGACAAAGGAGUCAUCUGCUUUUUUCUGUUCUAUUCUGGUGGGCAAACGAAUAGAAGUGAGAGACUUUGAGAAAGUUUCUGAGAGAAGGGAGGUGAAACAUAUGGGAAGUGUGACUGGCACAUUGGGCAGUGAGUCGCAGGCUCGCAGCAGAUGCAUGCUUGUUUUUUUAUGCUUUUUAUAUAGGCAUGCUAAGCCCUUUUCGUUCCAAGACAACAAAAGAAGAGCCUUUCUAUUAAUCUGUUUUGGAUUCCAACGCACAAAAGAAUAUUCCUCAAAACAAAAAUUUCUCACACAAAACCACGUGCAAUGCACACGGAGGACGACCGUGUUUUGACAAUCUCUUCCCAGUUUAUAUACAUUCUUUAAACAACUCCAAGAAAUUAAACAAAUUGGUUCGUCUUCCAUCUCAUCGUGGUUAUAAUAUACAAUCAUUGUAGUUUAUGAUUGAAAAUUCUGUAAAAUUCCCUUUUUUUUGGGGGGUUCUACUUUAAUAAUUUUGCCCAAUGGUUAUAUGGAAUCAGAAUUACUAAUUUUAAUAUGUUAAAAAAAAGACAAAUAAAUGGGGAAAAAUGAAGGAAAAACCUUAAAUCUUCGCCUUUGAACUUAAUCAUUGCGACGAAAUUCGGAAUUCAACAAUGCUAGAGAGUUGCGUGAAUGAUGAAGAUCAAGGUUUACGAACCCUUGAUAGAAUUGGAUGAAGAUGAAUUGAUUUAUCGGAUUAAGUCAGAUUGAAUUGACAGUGGAAGUGCCCAGAUUUUUGGGAUUCUUUGGGUAACAAGGUCCACCUAGAUUCUGUGAGGUGCUAUAGUAGAUUUUAGCGAUGAAGAUUUUGGAUCGAGUAAAGGAAGAAAGGGAAAGGAAGAUUUUGCAUCUUUGGCCCUUCCCGUCCAAACUUUGGGUCUUCGUUUUGCAUCUCUGUCGAAAUUUUUCAUUUGCAGAUCUACAACUAUGGUGGGUGCAAGCUUGGAAGAGACAUGGAGGACAAAAUUGGAAUGAAAUGAGUUUCUGCUAGACACAAGUUACCAUUAAGUCGCGUAAAUAUCACUCGCUAGCUCCCAACCGGUUAGCAGGUAAAAUCCAAAUAAGUCCAAAGCACAGGGGGGUUAAGUGGGAGUUUCUAAACAAUGAGGAGGUUUCGUGUCAAUUUCCUUAACCACAGGGAGGUUUUAUGUACUUUACCCAAGAUAAAAAGGUGAUUGGAAUUUGUGAAGCAAAUUAUUUUUUUCAAAUCAUUUCAAUCCAAACACACUCAAUAUCAUUUUUGGAUACAUGUCAUAUAUACAAAAGUUGAUAUUAGAAUUCAAAUUUGGAUUAAAUAAUAUGCAUUAAAAUCUGAAAAUGUAUACUGUCAAUAUAAACAAGAGGGUCCUCUUGUUUUGGAAAAAAAAAUUAAAAAAAAAAUAUGAAGGAAUCCCGUGGCCAUGUAAACAUUUUUUCUUUUUUUUGCAAAAGGAUAAACUUUCUUCAUAAAAAAAAUAUGCAAUUUAAGAAAUGGAUUAUAGUUUUUAAACUUUUACAGUAGUCCCAAUUUUUCUUUCGAGCAUGAAAAAAUGAUUCUAUAAAUACAUAUUUUCAGAUUUUAAACACGAGUUUGUUACUAAAAAUAUGAAGGUAUCCCGUGGCUGUGUAAACCUUUUUUUUUUUUUUUUUGCAAAAGGAUAAACUUUCUUCAUAAAAAAAAUAUGCAAUUUAAGAAAUGGAUUAUAAUUUUUAAACUUUUACAGUUGUUCCGAUUUUUCUUUCGAGCAUGAAAAAACGAUUCUAUAAAUACAUAUUUUUGGAUUUUAAACACGAGUUUGUUACCUCAUUUGUAAAAUAGAUCCACCGCCUAAAUUAUGGGCAACUUCGGUGGCUUUUGCAUUCAUGCUUCAGUUGUGUGCUUGGUCAACUUUGGUGGCUUUUGUGUUUGUGCUUCAGAGUUCAGACGUGUAUUUGUAUCUUCAUCGUAUAGUUGUAGUUGCUUGAGCUCCCCUGGUGAGUGGGCGGUGGGUGGUGUCCGAAGCGGUCUGUGGGAGCCGCACAAAGCUGUAUUGCCUAUAUAAUCUUGAGAGAAAGCCAUCUGAAAAGCAACAUAUUGGAUGUGUUUCUUUCUCCAAUUGAAGACCUGGAUUUGGCGGUUUUACAAGGUGAAGUCUUCGCACUCUCACCUAGCUGAUCUUGUUUAAACUUAUUUCAUUCUUGAUUAGAUACAAAUAGUGUGUGCAUAAUUUUAAAAGUGAUCAGCGUCACCAUGUUUAUGAUAUAUGUAUGUACGUGUACAUUUUAAAUGAAUGCAUCAUUUAUUUAUAAUAUCAAGAAUUCGCAAAGAUCUUAAGCCAAAGACUAACUAUCUAAGAGAAAAUUACAAAUCAAAUGAGUAAACGAGUAACAGCAAUAUUCAAUUUACCUAAAGUCAAAUUCUCCACAUUUAUUAACACCUAUCAUGUAUUAAAUAUAUAACCAUUUUACAUUAAUCCACUUGCCUUCAUUUGAUCUUGAUUAACAUAGACCCAGGGCAUCCUCACGCAUUGCGUGAGGCUGAAAAAACUAGUAAGAAAUGAAAAGAGAGGGACUAGGGGGCCUAGGGAAGGGGACGACAAGUUUUAACUUAAAAUUUUAAUCUUUUACCUUGAGAAUUCAGGGAAAAUUCCAUGCCAGUUGAUUAAUACACAAUGAAAUUUACUGUCAAUUCCAAGAAAAUGAACUAAUACUUAAACCUGAUUGCAAAAAUGAUGAAAUUAAAAAAAAAAGAACAGAAAAUUAUGAAUUACCCCAAAAGAAGAAAAUAAAAAUUAAAUAGUUGAUCCUUAAAUGCGUGGAAAUUGUAGAUUACGAUGACAACAAAUGGAUUUAAUGUUCGACGGAAUUUGUAAUCAAGUGAAGCUCAAAUCUGGAAUUUGUAAUUGGGAGAAUAAAUUUUUCAGAGAUAAUAAAACAAACAAAUGUCCCGUUUGGCAAAUGAGUUUUUCGAAUGUUCGCCUAAAAUUUUAUUAUAACUUACUGUAAAAGUUGUAGGAAAAUUUUUUAAGAUGGAAAACUUUUUUUCCUUUUCUUUAUUCUUUUUCUCUUUCUCUUUCUCUUUCUUUUUUUUUCUUUUAUUUCCUCUCAUUUUCUUCUCCUUUCCCCCUCCCUUUCUCUCUACCCUGCCACCCUCCCUGGUCGCAAGUCUGGGGGAGAGGGAAAAGGAGGAGGGAGAGAAAAAAGGAAAGAAGCUUCUUUCUGUCGGCGCUGGAAAAGGUGUUAGGUAGUGGUGGUAGGUUGAAGUGGGGGAAAGAAAAAGAAAGGAAUAAUGAAAAUUGUUUUGUGUGUAGUUUAAAAUUUUGAAAAAUUUUUUUAGGUUACUGUAAUUAAAAUUAUUAAAAAACUGGUAGUAAACAAACUUGGACAAAACCUCAUUUGUCAAAAAAGUCCUUUGGAGGAAAAGAAAUUAAACAUACCUUAGUACAUGGUACAAAAUCCUAUAGAAAUAUGGCAAAAUGAUAAAGAAGAGAGAAAAGAAAAACUUCAAAUAAAUGGUCAUUACAAUUGUGCUGACUAUUAAAAGGCAAAGAUAAAGGAUUAGUAUGGGAAAAAAUACAAACAAUUAGAGUAAAAGAGAAAGAUGAAAAAAAAUUAGGUAAUUAGACAGAUAAAGUAACGAUAGCAACCAUGAUUACACAUCUAAUUACAACUUUAAUUAGCCACUUGAAUUACAAAACACAUAAGUAGUUUCCAAAUCAUUCAUACCAUAAACACAAUUUGUAGUAGACUUUUGGAAACAAAAUUAAGGGCAAAAACCCUAACAAUCAAUUACUUGCACCACAUGCCACAAAUGUAUAUGAACCCAUGCUGAAAAUACAAUCUCAGCCCCUAAGAGGCAAAAGAAAUUCAACACAAGAGUUUGACUAAAAGUGUUUUUUAUAUAAUAUAAGAAAAUAUUUAAAAAUAAAUAAAUAAGAUAAACUGUUACCUUUUUCUUUUUUCAUAUUGCACCCACCAUUACUAAUCACCGCCACCUUUUUUCCUUAUUCUUCCUCCAAUGCUGCUACUUCCUUUCCCUAUGAUUUUCUUUCCGUCCUCUCUUUCCUUCCUCUUUUUCUUCUAUCUUUCCUUUCCUCUAUUCUACUUCUUCUCCCAUAACCAGUCUCUUUCUUUCAUUUCCUCGGUGAACUUCCUCUUCCUCUCAUUCCCUACUGGUUGCUGGUUUGGUCACGAUUACAACUAAUAGGGGAAGAGAGAGAGGGUAGGGUGGUCACAUCUAAUUCGUGACUAGAUCUAGGAAAAAGGAGGGAGAGGAAGGUGGUUGUAGGAGAAAAAAUGGGAAUAGAUGGGAAUGGAAGGGGACGAGAAGGAUGGAGAGGGAAGGGACAGGGGAAAGGGACGAAGAGAGGAGAAAGAGGAAAAGGGUGGAGGCGUUAGAGGAAAAAGAAAUAGAGGGGAGCAGCAGUAGUAGGUGGUAGAAGGACGACAUCCUCC